UCUUCCGUAGUAUAGUGGUCAGUAUGUGAGCUUGUCAUCUAAUAGACGAUUCGCUCGAGACCCGGGUUCAAUUCCCGGCGGGAGAG
Molecule: non-coding RNA, 86 nt
Organism: Cercophora newfieldiana
Lineage: Eukaryota; Fungi; Ascomycota; Sordariomycetes; Sordariales; Lasiosphaeriaceae
Source: the annotation of a GenBank genome assembly